CAUGAGCUCUGCUAGGGCAUUCCCAGCGUGUGUGUCUGUAAAUCCUAUCCAUUCAUUCAUUCAUUCAGGGAUGCAGUGUGCGUGUAUGUAUGGCAGAAACGGCAGCAAAGAGCCUUUGAAUUAUGUCACUUGAGCACAGAAGGACGAACAGUGGAGGAGAAGGCGGCAUGCAGAGAUGUUGAUGCUCCGCUGCUCCAAUCUGCAUACCAGGCGAUGACAUGACUCAGGGCUGAACCUGGAGAUGCCGAAGAGACGAGAUCUCAUCGCCAUCAUAUUGAUUGUGUUGCCUUGGACACUGCUCAUCAGUGUUUGGCACCAGAGAAACGUCACUUCUUUGCUUGUUUCCCAAAAGGAUGACACGCAUGUCAGUCGCUCUGAAUCCUACACACUUGGAUCCCGGAGCAUUGUGGAGGUAGUACGCACUGAAUAUGUCUACAGCCGGCCUCCGCCCUGGUCCGGCAUGCUCCCCACUAUUCACUUCAUCACUCCUACUUACAGUCGGCCAGUGCAGAAGGCAGAGCUGACACGCCUGGCCAACACUUUGCUCCAUGUGUCAAACCUGCUCUGGAUCGUGGUGGAGGACUCCAACAGAAAAUCUGAUCUGGUGAGCCGUGUCCUCCAAGACUCGGGUCUCAACUACACCCACCUCAAUGUGGAGACGCCUUUGAAGUACAAAGUACAUGGUGACACUAAGAAACCCAAAGUACCCCGGGGCACCUUACAGAGAAAUCUGGCGCUGCAUUGGCUACGACAGACCUUCAGCAUAAAUAACAGCCCUGCUGGGGUUGUUUACUUUGCAGAUGAUGACAAUACAUACAGUCUGGAACUGUUUGAAGAGAUGCGCUCCACUAAAAAGGUGUCAGUGUGGCCGGUGGCGUUUGUGGGUGGACUGCGAUACGAGACACCCAAAGUGAACGCCUUAGGCAAGGUGUAUGGCUGGAAAACUGUGUUCGACCCUCACCGGCCCUUUGCUAUUGACAUGGCCGGGUUUGCAGUGAACCUGAGACUCAUUCUGUCCAAACCUCAGGCUUUUUUCAAGUUGCAAGGAGUAAAGGGAGGAUAUCAGGAGAGCAGCUUACUAAAGGAACUGGUCACUCUGGAGGACUUAGAGCCUAAAGCUUUUAACUGCACAAAGGUAUUAGUGUGGCACACUCGAACAGAGAAACCUGACCUGGUAAAUGAGGGCAAGAAAGGAUUUACAGACGCCAACGUGGAAAUUUGACAUACUUCAUCACACACAGGGUCACGGGGGUCUGCUGGAGUCUAUCCCAGCUCAUUUCAGGUGAUGCCACCCAGCCCUCACACAGCUUCCUCUGUCUGCUGCCAUCAGGGAGGAGGCUGCGGAGUCUGCGGGUCAGGACCAGCAGACUGAGGGGAAGCUUCAUCCACCCGGCCGUCAGGAAACUGACCUCUGUACCUGCUCUCCCCCCUCACCAUGCUGCUCCCCCAACUCACACUAAGGACUAACUCAUCAAGAAACCUGUCAUACUGUGUGUAUAUAUGUACAAAUUCAUCCACUCCACCAAUUCCUUUCUUCUACUUGUAUAUACAGGACUUUUUUUUAAUAGUUUUUUAUAUUUAUAAUUUUUAUUCUUAUAUACGCAACAUUUGCACAUCUGUUAUAUUUUUUCUUUAGCUGCUGCACCGUAAGGCCUUUGGUCAUUUCAAUCCUUUAUUGUGUAAGUAAAAUUGUGUUUGUGAUUUAAUUAUGACAACAUAUUUAUACCAUUUUCAUCACAUGUUGUAUAUGCACAUGUUUUAUUUGACUUACUGGUAGCUUCACAAACGUGUCACUCGGAUACCCGUAUACAAACAACCUCCCCAUGAAAAAUCCAGGGAAACUGGGACUUUCAGGGAGGGUUUUCCAAGUUGCCUGAUAAAGACUGAAAUGAGGAUACUUUAAAUAUAAUAUUAAUGUGAAAAAUGAACAUAAAAUGCAAAGUCUUAGAUUCAGUUAAGUUUACAAACCUAUCAAUAAAUCUGGGUUUCAUAUCCAGGCUGUAUAUUGUAAAGUUGCGCAAUGGUAUAUUGUUUAAUAUAAUGUCGCCCACUAAUCCUGCAAGAGCACAAAACAAAAAAGGGUUAGUCAUCACUACUCACUGAGUAUGGGGGGGAUUUGGUAGAUCUGCAGCAAUGAAAUGUCAAUGACCUUUAUGUUGUUUGUCAAGAUCUCUUCCACGGUAAACUCGGCCACAGUUUUCCACCAAUAAACUCAAGGUACGCUGUCCCUGAAGGGAGCAAAUAGUUAUAAGUCUAAGAUUUUGCAACCAGUAACACACUGCUUCAGCAUCUAAUAAAAGCAGCUAAUAAAAUGUUUGUGUUCGUCGUUCAUACCUUACCAUCAGGAACAGCAAGCUCCACGCUCCGACGCUUGAACAGGCCAAUGUAACUUCUGUCUACAAACACCUGGUACAACAAAGACCAUUUAGAUUCUGAAACACAUCAGCUCAACUUUCAUCAAAUGAAAUAACAUUUUAGUGAGCGUGGUUAUUCAUAUACCCAGGAGCCCCUGGUACAGAGGGCAAAUGUCAUUUAAGAACAUAAGCCUGUGAUUAGGAUGGGAACAAAUAAAAUAUUUGUCCCUCUGGAGUGGAGAAGACAAUAAAAAAUGAAAAAUGAAAAAGUACAAAAUAAUACUAAAACAAUUCUCUGAGGUUUCUACCCCAGUAAGGCUAAAAGCCAUUGCCAGAGUGACAUUGUAAUAAUGUAAAUCGACUGCAAAUAAUGCAAAUAAAUUUACAUUGUAUCAAGCACCAGUAAUAGUCAAACACUGCUGAUGCUUAGGGCCCCAUGAAGGCUUGUGCCAGCCGUGCAUACAGCUGUCCUAAAUACAGAAAAACAUCUGGCACUGGUGGUAUAACCUUUCAGAUGAGCAUCCUCUGCUCUGUCAGAUCUGGACCGAUUUCUUUAACAUUUUCGCAUUGAAAUCACUUAAAAAGGAAAAAUAAAUGUCCCUGAAUUAAAAGUGUUGAAGUGGCAUGCUCAUGGAGUUCUUCCAGUGAGGUUCAAAUGCUGAUUGAUUGCACAGGGGAGGUUUGAAAGUUAAUUGGUUCCUCAGGUGAGGUUUGAAGGUAAAACUCAUUUGGGCGAUAAUCAUUUUAACUAACUCAAUUUUCAUUCAUUUUGUGUACAGAAAAAAAGAUGUUUUGUAUGUGUAUGUAUUUAUUUUGGUUCAAAAGUGAACUAAAUUGGGGCAUUAAUAUUAUGGAAUGUCUCAC
This is an RNA transcript of Cololabis saira (Pacific saury), 3218 nucleotides long. It is a transcript of the gene named beta-1,3-glucuronyltransferase 1 (glucuronosyltransferase P) b, with no coding region annotated. The record is from RefSeq and is a predicted model, not a curated record. NCBI's taxonomy places the organism in Eukaryota, Metazoa, Chordata, Actinopteri, Beloniformes, Belonidae. The transcript has 7 exons.